AGCGACUGUCCAGGGAGCUGGACCAGUUCGCCAAGCAGCUGACUCUGAGCAACACUACAUUCUCCGCCCUUGGAGUCUACACUCUGGACCGGAAGCUCUCAGCAGCGAUUCUCGGUGGCGUCACAACGUACAUGGUUCUUAUUAUACAGUUUCAAUCGAUUUCAAGUAAUUAAUGUAUUGUUUUUAAUUUUGAUUAUAAGUCUUGAGCAAAUAAUUAAUUAAAUUUCGUUUUUAAAACCA
This is a long non-coding RNA of Cydia pomonella (codling moth), 240 nucleotides long. RefSeq lists it as uncharacterized. The record is from RefSeq and is a predicted model, not a curated record. The transcript is spliced from 2 exons. Lineage: Eukaryota; Metazoa; Arthropoda; Insecta; Lepidoptera; Tortricidae.